UGGGGAAUAUUGGACAAUGGGCGAAAGCCUGAUCCAGCCAUGCCGCGUGUGUGAAGAAGGUCUUCGGAUUGUAAAGCACUUUAAGUUGGGAGGAAGGGCAGUAACCUAAUACGUUAUUGUUUUGACGUUACCGACAGAAUAAGCACCGACUAACUCUGUGCCAGCAGCCGCGGUAAUACAGAGGGUGCAAGCGUUAAUCGGGAUUACUGGGCGUAAAGCGCGCGUAGGUGGUUUGUUAAGUUGGAUGUGAAAGCCCCGGGCUCAACCUGGGAACUGCAUCCAAAACUGGCAAGCUAGAGUAUGGUAGAGGGUGGUGGAAUUUCCUGUGUAGCGGUGAAAUGCGUAGAUAUAGGAAGGAACACCAGUGGCGAAGGCGACCACCUGGACUGAUACUGACACUGAGGUGCGAAAGCGUGGGGAGCAAACA
RNAcentral lists this ribosomal RNA (427 nucleotides) under uncultured prokaryote. RNAcentral describes it as "bacterial SSU rRNA". It matches the Rfam family "Bacterial small subunit ribosomal RNA", at positions 355 to 774 of the family's 1533-position model. The record is from RNAcentral.